RNAcentral lists this ribosomal RNA (383 nucleotides) under uncultured bacterium. RNAcentral describes it as "bacterial SSU rRNA". It matches the Rfam family "Bacterial small subunit ribosomal RNA", at positions 29 to 431 of the family's 1533-position model. The record is from RNAcentral.
AGCGAACGCUAGCGGCGGGCCUAACACAUGCAAGUCGAGCGGAGGGGCAACCCUCAGCGGCGAACGGGUGAGUAACACGUAGGUAAUGUACCCUCUGGUGGGGAAUAACCGUGGGAAACCAUGGCUAAUACCGCAUAUGUCUUUCGAGAUGAAAGCAGCAAUGCGCCAGAGGAGCAGCCUGCGGCCGAUUAUUUAGUCCUAGUUGGUGAGGUAAUGGCUCACCAAGGGUACGAUCGGUAGCUGGUCUGAGAGGAUGAUCAGCCACACUGGAACUGAGACACGGUCCAGACUCCUACGGGAGGCAGCAGUGGGGAAUAUUGCGCAAUGGGCGAAAGCCUGACGCAGCCACGCCGCGUGAGUGAUGAAGGCCUCGGUUGUAAGAC